This 1530-nucleotide long non-coding RNA is filed under the name Betta splendens (Siamese fighting fish). RNAcentral describes it as "lncRNA (ENSBSLG00000007625.1)". Lineage: Eukaryota; Metazoa; Chordata; Actinopteri; Anabantiformes; Osphronemidae. The record is from RNAcentral.
AUGCGGAGAAACCUGAACACGCGCACGGCGCGCACCAGCUGGCCGCGGCUCCGCCUCCGCUCUGGUCGCCGCUUCGGCGGUUCGCGUCUCCAGCUCAGCCUCCAACCCAGUCCUGCUCUGUUCAGUCCCAGUCCAGUCGUGCUCUGUUCAGUCUCCAGUCCAGUCGUGCCCAGUUCAGUCUCCAGUCCAGCCGAGCCCAGUCCCGUCUCCAGUUCAGUCGAGCCCAGUCCCGUCUCCAGUUCAGUCGAGCCCAGUCCCGUCUCCAGUUCAGCCGAGCCCAGUUCCAGUUCAGCCGAGCCCAGUUCCAGUUCAGUCGAGCCCAGUCCCGGUCUCAGCCCAGUCGAGCCCAGUCCCGGUCUCAGCCCAGUCGAGCCCAGUCCCGGUCUCAGCCCAGUCGAGCCCAGUCCAGGUCUCAGCCCAGUUCAGGUUCCAGUCCAGCCCAGUCGAGCUCAGUUCAGGUUCCAGUCCAGCCCAGUCGAGCCCAGUUCAGUCGAGCCCAGUUCAGUCGAGCCCAGUUCAGUCGAGCCCAGUUCCGGCUCCAGUUCAGUCGAGCCCUGUUCCGGCCCCAGUUCAGUCGAGUCCUGUUCCGGCCCCAGUUCAGUCGAGUCCUGUUCCGGCCCCAGUUCAGUCGAGUCCUGUUCCGGCCCCAGUUUCAGUCGAGUCCUGUUCCGGCCCCAGUUCAGUCGAGUCCUGUUUCCGGCCCCAGUUCAGUCGAGUCCUGUUCCGGCCCCAGUACAGUCGAGUCACGUUCCUGUCCAGGUUCCAGUACAGUCGAGUCACGUUCCUGUCCAGGUUCCAGUACAGUCCAGUCACGUUCCUGUCCAGGUUCCAGUACAGUCCAGUCACGUUCCUGUCCAGGUUCCAGUACAGUCCAGUCACGUUCCUGUCCAGGUUCCAGUUCAGUCCAGUCACGUUCCUGUCCAGGUUCCAGUUCAGUCCAGUCACGUUCCUGUCCAGGUUCCAGUUCAGUUCAGUCACGCGCAGGUCGUGUCCCAACCAGGGGGCACCACCUGUCGUACAGGUGCUAUGCACACCCGAUCAGGCCCGACGUCUGCUCCGUCGAGCUUGGCAGCGGCAAGUAGCCAUGCCAGCUCCAGAGUAGAUGCCGUUCCAGUUCCUGUCGGCCAUGUCGCGGCCGUUCCUGUCGGCCAUGUUGAGGCCGUUCUAGUUCCUGUUCCUGUCCCUGUCGGCCAAGUAGACGCCGUUCCUGUCCCUGUCGGCCAUGUUGCGGCCGUUCCUGUCGGCCAUGUUGCGGCCGUUCUAGUCCCGGUUCCUGUCCCUGUCGGCCAAGUAGAUGCCGUUCCUGUCCCUGUCGGCCAAGUAGAUGCCGUUCCUGUCCCUGUCGGCCAAGUAGAUGCCGUUCCUGUCCCUGUCGGCCAAGUAGAUGCCGUUCCUGUCCCUGUCGGCCAAGUAGAUGCCGUUCCUGUCCCUGUCAGUCUUGGGGUGGCAGUCCCGGCGCACCUCCAGGAGGAGGUCGCGCCAGCUGCAGUCCCCCCGCGCACCUCCAGGAGCAGGUCGCGCCAGCUGCAG